GGCCUCCAGAACUGUGAGAGGGUGUUUAGGGGGAAAUGCCAUUUUAUUGGUUUCCUGUGACUGCCCUACAAAUAACCACAAAGAGGCGAGGGGAGAAGUGGGGGCUGUCCCUUCCACAGAGCUGCAAUCAAGCACAAAUGACUCUAAUAGUAUCAAUUGUGAGAGAGAGAGAGAGAUUUGGAGUUCACCACAAAUUCCCCAAACAAACAAUUUUACAAGAAGGACAUGACCCGCCUGGCGUUACUGCUUAGUUCUGAAUGAGUGAUACCGACUGCAGCAGGCCUAGGACCCCACGAGAGGAGGGAUCUGGAGGCCAAGCCAGGAGCAGGACAACACCAACAGAGGCCUCAGAAGAAGACUCAGAGUGGGACAGGGGCUCCUUAAGUGAUUGGGGCUGGAAGUGCGCAGAGAAGCCCGGCGCGGCAGGGAAUUGUCUCUCCCUGGGGUGCUGCCAAGGU
RNAcentral lists this long non-coding RNA (458 nucleotides) under Homo sapiens (human). RNAcentral describes it as "HSALNT0235117". The record is from RNAcentral. Lineage: Eukaryota; Metazoa; Chordata; Mammalia; Primates; Hominidae.